Molecule: long non-coding RNA, 572 nt
Organism: Drosophila miranda
Lineage: Eukaryota; Metazoa; Arthropoda; Insecta; Diptera; Drosophilidae
Exons: 3
Source: RefSeq, a predicted model, not a curated record
UAGUUGACAAAUUGUAGUAGACGGCGUGACGGAAUUAAUUUCAUACAAAAAUUUGAUAUUUUUACCCAAAACAAAUGAGAGAGAAGAAAUUAUAUAUGUUUGCAGAUGUGUGUGUGUAAACAAUAAUCGAUGACGAGCAAAAGGGACGCAAUCGUUGCGAUUAGUAGAGUGUGUGUUGAUGGAGAGAUGCAACAAGAGAGAGUUGCAGAUUUAGUAGUCUUCUCCUGCUUCUCCUUUCUUUCAGACUCUGGCGCGCUGCAAUGGAAAUGGAAAUCAAUGAAUCGAGCCGAACACGAGCGAUAUUUGUUGCCGUUUUGCUUUCUUAAACCGGCGUAAACAAGAGCGUAAGAGCGCGACGCGACGUUCUCUAGCUCGAUAGAACCGUAGGCCACCCCGCCUACGGAUAACAAAUAACGGAGGAGGAGUAGUGCAAAAACACACGCGAAUCGCCGGGCAGAAGGAAAAUGCACAUAAAAAAAAUACAAAGAAUACGAGAAAUAUUGUAUAAAAUAAUCACAAUCGCACACACACACACACACACAUACACCCUCUCACCUUCUAUAUUUUAUAUA